CUUAUGUAAACAUUCUUCAGUAAAAGUCAAUUACAGUUAUAUCAGGUAAAGUAUUAAUCAAUUAAUAAUUCUUAAUACAGAAUUAUAAAUAGAGCACUACACUGUGCAACUGUGUCCCUUUAUCUAGUGAUGAUAAUUAUUUUGUUAAAAAGAGAUGUUCAAUAUCUAACCAUGUGUUGAUAUCCUAACCACGUGACACUGACGUAAUACAUCUGAGGUGUAGUUACAACUAAAUCCGCCAUGUUGGACCUAUGAUUCAGUUGUGGAUGUUUACAUAAUAUGGGGUUAUAAUGAAUUGCUUUCCUUGUAGGAUAUACUAUGGCCAACAACGUUAGUAGUAACUGGAUUUACAUGCGGAGAAAACUUUUUGCUUCAUAAGGGAAAUAUGUGUGUUGUACUAUUUGAAGGAAUUUCUGUGUAAAAUUCAUAUGGGUCAAUUCAGACGGAUUUAACCACUAUCACCGCCGCCGCUGCCAUCACCAUAAACAUCUCCAUUUCCGUCACCGCCACUGUCCGGAACCACAGUUCUGCUCAGGCGGAUUGUGUAGUCACCAUCACUGUCCGGAACCACAGUUCUGCUCAGGCGGAUUGUGUAGUCACCACCACUGUCCGGAACCACCGUUCUGCUCAGGCGGAUUGUGUAGUCACCACCACUGUCCGGAACCACAGUUCUGCUCAGGCGGAUUGUGUAGUCACCACCACUGUCCGGAACCACAGUUCUGCUCAGGCGGAUGAAAUCGCCACCAUACACUGGAAAUUAAGUAAAAGAAGAAUCUGAAUCAGUUUUAUGUUCCGGCAAAAUAACCUGUUAAAAAUAGAAACAGGAAGCUUUAAAAUGCGAUCACUCUUACAUGCAUUGUACCAAAAAACAACAUUGAAACAAGUCAAAAAGAAAAAUUAAAUAAAUUAACUAAAAAGUAUUUUGUAUUCAUUUCAGACGGAGGAACAAAGGAGACAUUUACUAUUUACAUAAUAGUAUAGUAUUCAUGAGGAUUUUUUGUCUUUGAUUUGGUUUCGUUCUGUUUCUGUCUUAAAAUAUUUUAUUCUCCUCAUUGUCUGUUACCGAACAAGUAGAGUCAUGGAUAAAUGCAUAUCAUCUUAUUUUGCACUUCUUUUUACACGUAAAAUAUUUCGAAAUGCAUGUAUUUUAUUAUGACAGACGUCAACUGUACGUAUAUAUAUGUAUCUAUGUUGCUUAUACUGGGGGAAUAAGAUAUUUGUAUCGUACAAAAAGACACGCAAUCAGGGGACUGACUUUAUUCAGUAUAUUAAUUCCGGAUAUAUAUGUAAUACAUCUAUGCAACAAAACGAAUCGUUUAGUUUGAAAUUCUUAGUAAAUCUAUCAUAAACGUAUGUACUAUAAACAAGUGGCAGCAAAAAAAAAUGUUUAUUUAUUUACUUUUAAUAUUAUUUAUUUAUUAUUUUUCUAUUGUCACUGAUUACAAUAUAUCAUUGAAUAAUCUACUUGAAUGCGUGUUUUUGUAUAAUUCUCAACUAUUUACCGCCAUGAUUCAGUAUAGUAUAUUAUUAAUGGAUAUAUUGUGUGGAAUUGUCAAGAUGAUUUAAUUUACAUUACACAGUUUUAUACUCAAGACAAAACAUUUUCCUCAUUUAUUUCACUUAACCACGGGGUAUAUCGUUGCUACUCGCUUUAUGGAUUCCGACGGAAUCCAAAAAGUGAGUAUCAUGUAGACGGAAUCCAAAAACGAGUAUCAUGUAAACGGAAUCCAAAACGCGAGUAGUAACGAUAUACCCCGUGAUAACUUCAUUCGCUGUAUAUGUCGGUGUACAAAAUAUAGCACAUGCCAUCGUCACACAGAGCGCUGUAUGUGUACACAUUUGCACAUAAACGUUCGAUUACGCGACAGGACUAACACAACGACUAGGACUGUAUGUCACAAUAGCCUGGUAUGAAACUAAAAAUAAACGUUUAGAUUUGUAAUAUUUAUUACGUUGUAAUUAAUUAGCUAAUUUAUUCAUUUUUUCUGUUUUUAUGGCUUUCUUCCAAUUGCAAUAUAUAAUUGAAUAUCUUACGGACGUCACAUAUCGGAUGUAGCCUGCAGUAGAAUAUAAACUACACUGGACAUUAAAGUGUUAAUCGAACUCCCUUACCUCGUUGUAUAUGUCCUCGCACAAAUACAACACAGCACACACGGCCUGUCAUCGCCACAUAGAUCACUGUUAUUAUCGUCGUUCUAUUCGUAAUCGUCACAUUGAUGGUCACGUCGUCUGUAACGAAAUAACGACUGCUAAAGUGGCGAUGUUAAUCAAAUAAAAUAUUCAAUAUCCAUGCUCUAUUAGAAAUAGACAGUCGAGAAAUGUUUUCAAUGCUACGCUAGAAUAGAAGCAGCUUUACGCAGAUCACAUUCUAAUGUCGAUGAUUCUAGCAAUAUUGUAUUCCAUAGGAGGACUAAACCAUGCAAAUAAAGAAAGGAUGACACUCAAUAUUUCUUGAAGAAAUUGAUAACCAUAACUAAAAUAUGCAGCUGUACUACACAUAUAUGAACAGUAAAAACUCCGCUAAGUAUACAUGCAACAAUUUACCGUAUCCCCAGCCCCUUUCAAUCCCCUGCACCCUUUCUAUAUAUUUUCUAUGCACAUGCUAAAAUUAAUUAAAUGUUCAAUGAUAUAUAUCCAAACAGCAAUAAGUAUUGUCAGUACUGUUCCAUAGCUACUUUGUCUACAAGGAGACAGAUUUACACAAGUACUUAGUACUUGUUUCUUAAUCCUUUUUGAAAUCAUAUUGUAUAUAUUAUAUUGCCAUGUAUUAUUGAAUAAAAUAAAGUUUAAACUAACUUACCAUCAAGUAAUGAUCUUUC
Pecten maximus is the source of this 2819-nucleotide long non-coding RNA. RefSeq lists it as uncharacterized. The transcript is spliced from 2 exons. The record is from RefSeq and is a predicted model, not a curated record. Lineage: Eukaryota; Metazoa; Mollusca; Bivalvia; Pectinida; Pectinidae.